UCAUUGCCCUCAUGAUGAUCCUAUGAUCAGAAGCCUUUAAGAAUUAAAUACAUGCCUCUAAUUCUCAAUAUUUUGAGAAUAUGUAUCAAAACUAAUUUCAUGGAUGAUUUAAAGACACAUUACACUUGAAUGAAAAAAAACUUGCCCCUUUUAUUGAUCAUAUCAAUAUAUUAAGUAUAAAAUUAUACCCUAGAUAUAUUAC
This 202-nucleotide long non-coding RNA is filed under the name Elaeis guineensis (African oil palm). RNAcentral describes it as "long non-coding RNA (EGUI_LNC048031)". The record is from RNAcentral. Lineage: Eukaryota; Viridiplantae; Streptophyta; Magnoliopsida; Arecales; Arecaceae.